Molecule: ribosomal RNA, 549 nt
Filed under: Chelon ramada (thin-lipped mullet)
Lineage: Eukaryota; Metazoa; Chordata; Actinopteri; Mugiliformes; Mugilidae
Description: partial 16S ribosomal RNA
Rfam family: Bacterial large subunit ribosomal RNA
Source: RNAcentral
GGUCCUGCCUGCCCUGUGACCCCUGGUUCAACGGCCGCGGUAUUUUGACCGUGCAAAGGUAGCGCAAUCACUUGUCUCUUAAAUGAGGACCUGUAUGAAUGGCACGACGAGGGCUUAACUGUCUCCUUUCCCCGGUCAGUGAAAUUGAUCUUCCCGUGCAGAAGCGGGAAUCCUAACAUAAGACGAGAAGACCCUAUGGAGCUUUAGACUUCAGAACAGAUCAUGUAAGCUACCCCCGUGAAAUAGGUAAUAACUAUUGAAUUUCUGUUCCCCUGUCUUUGGUUGGGGCGACCACGGGGAAGAAAAAAACCCCCAUGUGGACCAGGAGCACAUUACUCCUACAACCAUGAGCCACAGCUCUAAUGCACAAAAUUUUUGACCAUUAGAUCCGGCAAAGCCGAUCAACGGACCAAGUUACCCUAGGGAUAACAGCGCAAUCCCCUUUAAGAGUCCAUAUCGACAAGGGGGUUUACGACCUCGAUGUUGGAUCAAGACAUCCUAAUGGUGCAGCCGCUAUUAAGGGUUCGUUUGUUCAACGAUUAAAGUCUU